RNAcentral lists this ribosomal RNA (270 nucleotides) under Rhizonema sp. 'cyanobiont of Dictyonema sp.'. Its description in RNAcentral is "partial 16S ribosomal RNA". It matches the Rfam family "Bacterial small subunit ribosomal RNA", at positions 28 to 327 of the family's 1533-position model. Lineage: Bacteria; Bacillati; Cyanobacteriota; Cyanophyceae; Nostocales; Rhizonemataceae. The record is from RNAcentral.
GAUGAACGCUGGCGGUAUGCUUAACACAUGCAAGUCGAACGGUCUCUUCGGAGAUAGUGGCGGACGGGUGAGUAACGCGUGAGAAUCUGGCUCUAGGUCUGGGACAACCACUGGAAACGGUGGCUAAUACUGGAUGUGCCGAAAGGUGAAAGAUUGAUUGCCUGGAGAUGAGCUCGCGUCUGAUUAGCUAGUUGGUAGGGUAAGAGCUUACCAAGGCGACGAUCAGUAGCUGGUCUGAGAGGACGAUCAGCCACACUGGGACUGAGACAC